RNAcentral lists this ribosomal RNA (255 nucleotides) under uncultured bacterium. RNAcentral describes it as "partial 16S ribosomal RNA". It matches the Rfam family "Bacterial small subunit ribosomal RNA", at positions 524 to 776 of the family's 1533-position model. The record is from RNAcentral.
UACGUAGGGGGCAAGCGUUAUCCGGAAUCAUUGGGCGUAAAGCGCGUGUAGGCGGUUCCGUAAGUCCGCUCUGAAAGCCCAGGGCUCAACCCUGGGAGGCGGGUGGAUACUACGGAACUGGAGUACGGAAGAGGAGAUUGGAAUUCCUGGUGUAGCGGUGAAAAUGCGCAGAUAUCAGGAGGAACACCAACAGCGAAGGCAGAUCUCUGGGACGUUACUGACGCUGAGACGCGAAAGCGUGGGGGAGCAAACAGG